Molecule: long non-coding RNA, 504 nt
Organism: Leptinotarsa decemlineata (Colorado potato beetle)
Lineage: Eukaryota; Metazoa; Arthropoda; Insecta; Coleoptera; Chrysomelidae
Source: RefSeq, a predicted model, not a curated record
CUUUAUUGAUUAUGGAACGGUUGCGAAAGUUUCUGUUAAAGAGUUAUGUUUCUUGCACGAGAAUUUCUCUAAUCUACCAGCACAAGCAAUACGCUGCAGACUUGCCAAUAUUUGCCCACCAGAAAAAGGGACUCCUUGGACUCGGGAGUCAACCAAAGCCUUUAGACAGCUUGUACUGAAAAAAGACCUGACCGCUAAAGUUAUUCGAAUAAAUUGGAAGGACCAAUUUUUGGAGGUUUGCCUGGCAGAUGUAACAGAUCGAGAUAAUAUAUAUUAUAUUCAUGACAAAGUGAUAGAAAAGGGAUUUGCAAUUCAUCCAAAUCAAGUGAGUUGUGAGGAUAAAGUUUCUAAUAAUAAGAAAAAGAUAUUACUGCAAGUCAUAGCUCAAAGAAGAGCAGGGACAAAUAUUCCAUAGUGUUUUAGUAAAUUUGGACUGAGAAUGUAACGAUUUUGUUUUCAUUAUUGAUAUUUGAAGAUACUUCAUGAAAUAUAAUUUCAAAAGUA